RNAcentral lists this ribosomal RNA (428 nucleotides) under uncultured bacterium. Its description in RNAcentral is "bacterial SSU rRNA". It matches the Rfam family "Bacterial small subunit ribosomal RNA", at positions 355 to 775 of the family's 1533-position model. The record is from RNAcentral.
CGAGGAAUCUUGCGCAAUGGGGGAAACCCUGACGCAGCAACGCCGCGUGAGUGAGGAAGGUCUUCGGAUCGUAAAGCUCUGUCGGGUGGAAAGAAAUGUAUGGGGUUAAUAGCCUUCAUACUUGACGGUACCACCAAAGGAAGCACCGGCUAACUCCGUGCCAGCAGCCGCGGUAAUACGGGGGGUGCAAGCGUUGUUCGGAAUUAUUGGGCGUAAAGAGCGUGUAGGCGGCUUGGCAAGUCAGAUGUGAAAGCCCUGGGCUUAACCCAGGAAGUGCAUUUGAAACUGCCUAGCUUGAGUAGGGGAGAGGGAAGUGGAAUUCCUGGUGUAGAGGUGAAAUUCGUAGAUAUCAGGAGGAACACCGGUGGCGAAGGCGACUUCCUGGCCCUAUACUGACGCUGAGACGCGAGAGCGUGGGUAGCAAACAG